AACGAACGCUGGCGGCAUGCCUAACACAUGCAAGUCGAACGAGACCUUCGGGUCUAGUGGCGCACGGGUGCGUAACGCGUGGGAACCUGCCCUUAGGUUCGGAAUAACUCCCCGAAAGGGGUGCUAAUACCGGAUAAUGUCUUCGGACCAAAGAUUUAUCGCCUUUGGAUGGGCCCGCGUUGGAUUAGCUAGUUGGUAGGGUAAAAGCCUACCAAGGCGACGAUCCAUAGCUGGUCUGAGAGGAUGAUCAGCCACACUGGGACUGAGACACGGCCCAGACUCCUACGGGAAGCAGCAGUGGGGAAUAUUGGACAAUGGGCGAAAGCCUGAUCCAGCAAUGCCGCAUGAGUGAUGAAGGCCUUAGGGUUGUAAAGCUCUUUUACCCGGGAUGAUAAUGACAGUACCGGGAGAAUAAGCUCCGGCUAACUCCGUG
This 433-nucleotide ribosomal RNA is filed under the name uncultured bacterium. RNAcentral's name for it is "partial 16S ribosomal RNA". It matches the Rfam family "Bacterial small subunit ribosomal RNA", at positions 29 to 507 of the family's 1533-position model. The record is from RNAcentral.